GACGAACGCUGGCGGCGUGCCUAAUACAUGCAAGUCGAACGCUGAAGGAGGAGCUUGCUUCUCUGGAUGAGUUGCGAACGGGUGAGUAACGCGUAGGUAACCUGCCUGGUAGCGGGGGAUAACUAUUGGAAACGAUAGCUAAUACCGCAUAAGAGUAGAUGUUGCAUGACAUUUGCUUAAAAGGUGCAAUUGCAUCACUACCAGAUGGACCUGCGUUGUAUUAGCUAGUUGGUGGGGUAACGGCUUACCAAGGCGACGAUACAUAGCCGACCUGAGAGGGGGAACGGCGACACUGGGAAUGAGACACGGCCCAGACUCCUACGGGAGGCAGCAGUAGGGAAUCGUCGGCAAUGGACGGAAGUCUGACCGAGCAACGCCGCGUGAGGGAAGAAGGUUUUCGGAUCGUAAAGCUCUGUUGUAAGAGAAGAACGAGUGUGAGAGUGGAAAGUUCACACUGUGACGGUAUCUGAACAGAAAGGGACGGCUAACUACGUG
RNAcentral lists this ribosomal RNA (495 nucleotides) under uncultured bacterium. RNAcentral's name for it is "partial 16S ribosomal RNA". It matches the Rfam family "Bacterial small subunit ribosomal RNA", at positions 28 to 507 of the family's 1533-position model. The record is from RNAcentral.